RNAcentral lists this ribosomal RNA (460 nucleotides) under uncultured bacterium. RNAcentral describes it as "partial 16S ribosomal RNA". It matches the Rfam family "Bacterial small subunit ribosomal RNA", at positions 338 to 795 of the family's 1533-position model. The record is from RNAcentral.
CCUACGGGUGGCAGCAGUGAGGAAUCUUGGUCAAUGGACGCAAGUCUGAUCCAGCCAUGCCGCGUGCAGGAAGACGGCUCUACGAGUUGUCAACUGCUUUUGUACGAGGGUAAACGCAGAUACGCGUAUCUGUCUGAAAGUACCGUACGAAUAAUGAUCGGCUAACUCCGUGCCAGCAGCCGCGGCAAUACGGAGGAUUCAAGCGUUAUCCGGAUUUAUUGGGUUUAAAGGUGGCGUAGGCGGUCGGAUAAGUUAGAGGUGAAAGCCCGGGGCUCAACUUGGGAAGUGCCUCUGAUACGGUUCGGCUAGAGAGUAGGUGCGGUAGGCGGAAUGUAUGGUGUAGCAGUGAAAUGCUUAGAUAUCAUACAGAACACCGAUGGCGAAGGCAGCUUACCAAGCUACUUCUGACGUUGAGGCACGAAAGCGUGGGGAGCAAACAGGAUUAGAUACCCGUGUAGUC